Long non-coding RNA from Hemicordylus capensis (graceful crag lizard), 818 nucleotides. RefSeq lists it as uncharacterized. The transcript is spliced from 4 exons. The record is from RefSeq and is a predicted model, not a curated record. Lineage: Eukaryota; Metazoa; Chordata; Lepidosauria; Squamata; Cordylidae.
GCAGGAAGCGGGGGAAAGGGAGGGCGCCGGGCGGCUCUGCGGGCUGGAUGAACCCACAUUCUGAGUGGAUCGCCACCAACCCUCGACUCGAGCUUUUGGAAAGAAGCCGGUGUUCCUUUCUGGCGGGAGAAGAGAACGGGUGGCUCAGGCGGCGGCUGCUCCUCCAUGGGAGGAGCUGCACAAGAAUUCAUUCUUUUGCAGCUUCUCAAGCCACUGGGGCAAAAGAGCAUGCCGGUAGUGCUGUGCUGCUGAGGCGCCAAUCUGCAGAGUUUGCAGGUCAUUAGUGCUGCACCAAACUCCAAGCCGAUCUGCACCAACCCGAGUCGAUCUGCAGAGUUUGCAGGUCAUUAGUGCUGCACCAAACUCCAAGCAAGGAGCUCAGAGGGCAAGCAGCAUAUCCAAGGUUUUCUGAUUUCAUCUUCACAACGAUCCUGUGAGUUUUGUAAUGAACCACGGUUGGAACAGUAAAAGCAUCUACCUACUUACUAUGCUUUUGUCAAGCGAUCACUGGAUAAGACAUGAAAUAAAUCCCAGGAAGACCCUGCCUCAGCCAAUUUUGGCCACAGAAAAAUACAGUGAGAAGCAACAUGCAACACAGCCAUGGAAAUGGACUUCAGUUUCACAGAAUUGUCAGGAUUUCCUUCCAGACAGUUUCCAAGAACAUACCAAGAAACCAGGACCUUUGGUGACAUCUUGUUCCAAUUUUAUUGAGGCUGAAUUGUUGGCCAGCUCCUUCAAAUCAUAACCAGCACAGAAGUUGCCUCCUACAAAACACCACAAAAAAAGAAAAAGCUAGAUUAUGGAACAAUAAAGAAGUG